RNAcentral lists this ribosomal RNA (270 nucleotides) under uncultured archaeon. Its description in RNAcentral is "partial 16S ribosomal RNA". It matches the Rfam family "Archaeal small subunit ribosomal RNA", at positions 477 to 747 of the family's 1478-position model. The record is from RNAcentral.
CAGCACCUCAAGUGGUCAGGAUGAUUAUUGGGCCUAAAGCAUCCGUAGCCGGCGCUGGAAGUUUUCGGUUAAAUCUGUACGCUCAACGUACAGGCUGCCGGGAAUACUGCAGCGCUAGGGAGUGGGAGAGGUAGACGGUACUCGGUAGGAAGGGGUAAAAUCCUUUGAUCUAUUGAUGGCCACCUGUGGCGAAGGCGGUCUACCAGAACACGUCCGACGGUGAGGGAUGAAAGCUGGGGGAGCAAACCGGAUUAGAUACCCGAGUAGUCC